RNAcentral lists this long non-coding RNA (924 nucleotides) under Brassica rapa (field mustard). RNAcentral's name for it is "long non-coding RNA (BRAP_LNC001863)". Lineage: Eukaryota; Viridiplantae; Streptophyta; Magnoliopsida; Brassicales; Brassicaceae. The record is from RNAcentral.
UGGAAUUUUCGUUUUGAAAUAUGAUUGUGUUAGAUUGUAUGAUACUAUGCAUGCUGGUUUUAGUUUAAUUUUUUUAUUUAUUUAUGUGUUUGGUGGUGAUGUCCCAUCCCUACAAAAAGAAUAUCAUUAUUAUUUUAUUUUAUUUUUUGUUAGAAGAAUACUGUAGUAUCAUUAAGGGCCUGACUGGUUCAACCGCAGCGGUUGCGGUUGCGGUUGCGGGAGUUUGCGGAUGCGGGUGGUUGCGGUUUCUAGCGGUUUUAAGAGAUUUGUACGACUGGUUCUGCGGUUAGAAAUUGGUGCGUUUGCGGGAUACUUAUGACUGGUUAACUACCAAAUGCUGCAGCGGUUAAAUAAUAAAUUAACAAUAUUUACAUUUUAUACAAUUAUAAAAAUAUCAAAAAUAAUAAUAUUAUAAUAAAUAUAAAAUUUAUAUUUAGAAAGUUAUAGUUUAAAUUUCAAUUUAUAUUUUUUUUUAUUUUUGUAUUUAUUAUAAUGUUUUGGAAAAAAAAUAAUUUUUUUUAUCCUUCUGCAAACGCCCGCAACCGCAAACGCUAGCUGGAACCAGAUUUUGAAUUUAUGAAGUUCAGAGCGAUUUGGAGCGAUUUAGAGCGGUUUAGAGCGGUUUGAGCGAUUGUUGCAAAACGCCAGCAACCGCUAUCAACCGCAAAAGCUGCGUUUGCGGGUGGUAGCGGGAAAACCAGUCAUACCCUAAUUGUAUGCAUCCUUAACGUAAAGUACUAUAUGUAUACAGUAGUUUUAGAAACCUAAACACGGACAGAAAUUUUUUGGUAAUGAUUAUGGGUCCAUUUUUAGCUAAAGACAUUUGAUCCAGACCCAAAAAUUCGAAUUGAAACUGAUCUAAAAGUAUCUAAUCUAAAACCAAACUAAAAAUUUAUAAGUACCUAACUGGAUCUAAAAUUUUUC